Molecule: ribosomal RNA, 420 nt
Filed under: Fusobacteriota bacterium
Lineage: Bacteria; Fusobacteriati; Fusobacteriota
Description: Fusobacteria bacterium partial 16S ribosomal RNA
Rfam family: Bacterial small subunit ribosomal RNA
Source: RNAcentral
UGGGGGAUAUUGCACAAUGGGCGAAAGCCUGAUGCAGCGACGCCGCGUGGGGGAUGAAGGCCUUCGGGUUGUAAACUUCUUCUGCUCUGAACAAGGCAUGCCUUUGGGGUGUGUUGAGGGUAGGGGUUGAUUAGCGCCGGCUAACUACGUGCCAGCAGCCGCGGUAAUACGUAGGGCGCGAGCGUUGUCCGGAAUUAUUGGGCGUAAAGGGCUUGUAGGUGGCUGGUUGCGUCUGUCGUGAAAGCUCAUGGCUUAACUGUGGGUUUGCGGUGGGUACGGGCUGGCUUGAGUGCAGUAGGGGAGGCUGGAAUUCCUGGUGUAGCGGUGGACUGCGCAGACAUCAGGAGGAAUACCGGUGGCGGAGGCGGGUCUCUGGGCUGUUACUGACGCUGAGGAGCGAAAGCGUGGGGAGCGAACAGG